Molecule: long non-coding RNA, 705 nt
Organism: Nerophis ophidion (straightnose pipefish)
Lineage: Eukaryota; Metazoa; Chordata; Actinopteri; Syngnathiformes; Syngnathidae
Exons: 3
Source: RefSeq, a predicted model, not a curated record
AGUUGUUCUCUCGUGGGUUCAGUGAAGAUGGACACAGCGUGAGCAGGCUGGAAAACAUCAGUCCAACAUGCUGCUUGAACUUUCUCCAUUCUCCCGGUAAAUCGAGAGAGUCCCAAUCCAUGCGGGGCGACGGCACUCCUGUCGGUUCCAUGUUAGUGCCGGUUCUGCUCCUCAAUUCUGACACCAUGUCAUCUACAUCCAACUUCUCUAUUGAUAGCUGUGUCCCAUACUGACUUCCUUCAUCCAAGCCAGGACCCCUACCGGGCCACCUUGAGCAUGUAGUUGCCUAAACAGAUGCCUGAUUAAAAUGCCACUCAUCCAACAUAGGGUCUUCAUUGGCUAUGAAUAUUACAAUAACAUUUAUAUUGUUACUGUGAAUGAUUUAGUAAGUAAGAUGACAUAAGUGACAACAUAACAUUUAGAGUGUUACUGUGACUGAUUUAGUAUGUAAGAUGGCAUUAGUGAUUACAUAACCUUCAGAUUGUUACUAGGACUGAUUUAGUAAGUAAAAUGACAAACGCUCACCAGAAAUGAAAGACGGUUGGCAGGCUGUCGACAGGAGACAUUUUAUUGCAAACCGUCGAUCCAUUCAAGACACUUUCUCAAAACAAUCACACACUUUUACGCCUUCAGAAUAAAAGCGCGCCACUAUACAUCCGGUUUAGGGUUUUUUCCUUAAUGUAUGGCUUCACAUUAGCCACCACA